Molecule: long non-coding RNA, 926 nt
Filed under: Marmota monax (woodchuck)
Lineage: Eukaryota; Metazoa; Chordata; Mammalia; Rodentia; Sciuridae
Source: RNAcentral
AUACAAUGAAUUUUGCAAAUUAUAGUUCUAUGUGAUUUAUUUCAUUUUUAGCUUCAAUUGGAGCUUUUCUUUUUCUUUUUCUUUUCUUUUUUUCUUUUUGGUUGCCGUGUUCACUGAGUCAGUCAGCCUUCACCUUGGAGAAAGCGGGCUUUAAAAACUACGUCACAGGGUUUUGUAUUUAGAGAAAAGUUAUAUGCUAGUGUUUUCAAUGGCAUGUUAUUGUCUUGAUGAGAAUAUAGAAAACACCCGUCAUUACUCGGAGAUGGGAUUUGAAGACACAGAUUCCCUUUCUACCAUCUCCAAGUCCCUUGAGCCCGGUCUCACUGUUUCCUUCACCUACUUUCCCACCUGAGUGAUUCACGUGGGAGACAGAAAGCAUUGCCUUUAGGCUUCUCCCCCUAUUUAUUCCCCAUCUUCAACUUCUUGUCAAGAUAAAUUACGCUAAAUUCAUUAAAAAUGAGUAAAAGGUUUUCUCCAAAGUUAAAACUGGGGAUUGAUUUGGAUAUUGGAUGGAGGAAUAUCUAUCAGAAAAAUUCCAACAAAGUUUGUGAGUCGUCCUUUUGAAUAGGAGAUAGGAAACCCUGGCCCCCUGUUCUGCCCGCCCAGUUCCUUCAGGAUCUGCACAACCCCCACCUGUCCCUGAGGCCACCUGACACCUGGGUCCUUGUCCCUCUGCCCUGAGACUGACUGUUUGGCCAGGGGACCUCUCCUAUCCCCAAACUCCUGGUCUUGGUUUUUGGAGAGGAGGGGGUUUCCUGAAGUUCACUGUGCAGCCAUACUGAAGGCUGGUGACCAGGCAAGACUGGAGGAAGGCAAGCAAAUGGAAAGGGACCGUCUCUGAGGGGACUGCCGGCUGCUAGCCAAACAGACGGCACUCCUGCGUGGGGCUCAUGAAGACCCAUGUUUAUAAGUGAAGUAAAGCCCAG